This 272-nucleotide ribosomal RNA is filed under the name uncultured bacterium. RNAcentral describes it as "partial small subunit ribosomal RNA". It matches the Rfam family "Bacterial small subunit ribosomal RNA", at positions 26 to 285 of the family's 1533-position model. The record is from RNAcentral.
AGAAUCAACGCUGGCGGCGUGCCUAACACAUGCAAGUCGAACGCGAAAGCCCCGCAAGGGGUCAGUAGAGUGGCAAACGGGUGAGUAACACGUGGGUGAUCUGCCUCAGAGUGGGGGAUAACGACCCGAAAGGGUCGCUAAUACCGCAUAACAUCCUGCCUUUGGAUAGGUGGAGAUCAAAGCCGGGGAUCGCAAGACCUGGCGCUUGGAGAGGAGCCCGCGGCCGAUUAGCUAGUUGGUGAGGUAACGGCUCACCAAGGCAACGAUCGGUA